Molecule: long non-coding RNA, 414 nt
Organism: Lolium perenne
Lineage: Eukaryota; Viridiplantae; Streptophyta; Magnoliopsida; Poales; Poaceae
Source: RefSeq, a predicted model, not a curated record
CCACUUUCUCCGAAAGCCACUAGAUGCGUGCGUCGACCUGAUUCCCGAUUGCCUCUUUGUCCUCUAUCCUCAACGACCAUCCUACUAUGUCCUCUAUAUCCUCUCAUCUCCUUUGCGUUUUAUUCUUGCAGAUCUUGAUCGGGUGAGACUGAUGGGAAUCAUUCUCAAGUGGUGGCGCUGGAGCAACCUCUCUCCGCCGCCAGCAGAUCAUCUCCAACAUGGAGCGCAGAGAAUGCAAUAGGCUGACCUGCUAGCGCUACUCAUGGACCAGAUCUUUAAAUAAAGCUCGAUCCACCGCAUUGACAAGAAGUUCCUCGUUAGGGUGUGCUCAGGCCUCUUUUACAGAAGCUCCAGUCAUAUGAUAUUUGAAGAAGCCAGCAAAAAGUAGCUUAUAUAUAUUGUAAUAAUAGGCAU